Eurytemora carolleeae is the source of this 744-nucleotide long non-coding RNA. RefSeq lists it as uncharacterized. The transcript is spliced from 3 exons. The record is from RefSeq and is a predicted model, not a curated record. NCBI's taxonomy places the organism in Eukaryota, Metazoa, Arthropoda, Copepoda, Calanoida, Temoridae.
UCCUCACCGAGGCGUCCUUCUAAGAGAUCCACUUGAAUGGAGCCCAGUCCAGACCUCUUUCUGCACUCCCGAGAACCCGAAUCAGAUGAGGACACCUUCCUGCAUGAUGAACCUCAGGACGAUGAUUUCACUGAUGAGCCACCAGCAGGUCCAUCUUAUGGCCCAUCUGAGUAAACCAUUUGUUGGAGAGAUGUACCUGUAUUUAGUAACAUGGCUGUUUUGAACUUGAUCUCCGAAAAGAUUGAAGAAAUUUAUACAUGAUACCUAGUCCACAAUAUUGCUACUUUUGAAACUAUAAAAAAUUAUUAUAUGUAUGUUUGUUAAACUGUUACGAUGAGAUGUUUUUAUUACCAGAGCUUCGUUCUACAAAAUUACAUCUAGGUUAUCCAAUUUAUACAGUAUGUUUCAAAAUGAUUAUAAUGUAAUCUCUUUAAUUCCAAAAUAAAAACUCUUAAAUUAUCUACACCCCAGUGUAUGUGUACUGCCAUACAGCUGAAAUUUUUAUAGGGUGUACAACAUUGCGUUUAUUAAUUUAGUUUUAAGAAUGUAUCGCUAUCUCGUAUUUUAAUGUUUUUGUCUUACACUUUUUCUAAAUGUAAAUUUCCCAAAGAAAAUGGCCGCGGAUUAAGAGUUUUUAAAAAGGAUUUUUUUGAGAUAUUGGAUCUACAGGGAAGGGUGAAAAUCAUCCCGAUGCAUUGCAAGACUGCAGUCUCCGCUUUAUCAUCUACUACUCAGACUUUGUCU